CCCGGGUUUCCUGCAUUGCAGGCAGAUUCUUUACUGUCUGAGCCACCAGGGAAGCCACCUUUUAUUUGAUGCUCAGGCAUUAAGGAAAGCUUGAGGAUCUUUCAGACUAGGCUGACUGUCCUGCCUGUUCUUGUAGCGAACUCUGCCUACCUGAUACAAAGCACCACACCCCCAUCGCCCCUCUGCUGGGCUGCGUGCUCUAUGGUAGCAGAGCUGGGAGCUGGUCAAUGCCAUGUCCUCUGGCAUGUGGGAAGCAAUAACUCAAGCUUUGUUUGAUGAAGACGGGAGACAACCAGGAUGUUCAUGCCCCUGACUCAAAUGUCAACGCUAAUUCUCUAAGUGAUUUUUGGCAACAUUUUUUCAAAUGUAAUCCUGGGAGCCCUGGAACCUCAAAUCCUAGCUCUCUGAGGAGAGUCCAGCUUCUUCCAUCAACAUGGACCUCAGGACCCUGGUGUGAGAAAGGGCCUGGAAGAUAAGCCUAGACAUCUCCAACUGGAACUCGGGAUGAAUUCUCCCAUAGACCUACCUGUGAAUGGUGCCUGGCAUGGUCAAGGCUGAGACAACUAAAUGUGUGUUUUGUAUACACCCUCUAUGAAUCUGUGCUGGAUUGCCAAAAUAUGGAAACAUAAGUAGAAACACCUAGAGAGUGCCUGACCUUGUGAAAAAGACCUAUAAUUCCAAUUAAUAUUUUUUAAAGCCUAAGUUUGACUCCCCAAAACCUUUUCUCUACAGUAUCUUGAACCAUACAGCAUUCGUUCUAUUGACUAAGUUCAGCUGACGCAAAGCAAGAACGGAAGAAAGCAGUGGUGAUGGGGUGACUCAUCGGCCUUCAGUGGAGGCAAUUAUGUCGGGCACACAGAGUCUGUGGGAGCUGCCCUUCCACCGAGGGAGAGACAAAGCGCAGGGCGUCUCAGCACCGAGGGUCUGUGUCUGUCCACGCAGCCAGCGGCCCCGUGUAGGAUGGGAGUCACGAAGCUCGGCCGGUAGAGACUUCAACAGCUAUAAAGAGACACUAGCCGGCCACCCGUGCAGCGUUCCUUUGUGGCAGACAAUGGCACUUGGGAAAUGCCACACGCAUUAG
RNAcentral lists this long non-coding RNA (1081 nucleotides) under Bos indicus x Bos taurus (hybrid cattle). Its description in RNAcentral is "lncRNA (ENSBIXG00000010932.1)". The record is from RNAcentral. Lineage: Eukaryota; Metazoa; Chordata; Mammalia; Artiodactyla; Bovidae.